UUUAGAAUAAGGGAGGUAUUCCUGGAUGUGGCAGCUGCUAAUCUUACUUCAGUGAGGAAUUCUUAACUUUACCUCCUCAGAAGAAGGUUCCAGAGACACAGGGAGUAUGUUUUGGCUGAGGGUAGGAUAAUUUCUCUCUUAACAGGACAGGUGACAUUCUUUCCAAUUAUUAUAAAAAUUAAGUGUGUCAGAGGUCUGUUACUCACUGAAAGAGCAAACCAGCAAUUCAGCUGUAGCCUCUGGGCUUUUCUCUCUACCUGGUAGUUAAACUGAAUCAUUAGCUGUCCUGUAACACCAGCACCCUGUUUAUUCACUGUUUUUUGAAAUAGGAUAAUGCAGCACUGAAGCCAGAUAGCUGGCAAUGAAUGUGACAGUGACAUUCAAAGAAAACAGAUGCCACAAAGCCUGGAUCAUCAGAGGGAAAAAGUCCUGGCUGGGAAGGAAGAUGAUCUCCCUGGGAAAAUUUGCUCCUCUGCUCUGUGGGAACACUGAAAACCAACACUGGGAAGUUCCACUACCUUGAAGAGAGGCCACUGAGAGUUAAUUCUUUUUACAUUUAAACACAAAACAGCUUUCUAAUUUUAUAUAAUCAAGAAAUGGAAAACAAUUUUUAUUAACAUGUCUUACAUUUACAAUCUUUUAUUAGCUAAUCAACAUCAACAUGCAAAAAUAAGCGCUAAAUACAAACCUCUACAAUAUGGUUUUGUUUAAACUACAAUGGUUUAAUUCUUUUCAAAAGUCAUAAGGAUGUGUUCUGCAGUUGUUAAAAUUGAACUAUUAGUUUCAGUAAUGAAUACUAUUUAGACCCUAAAAUUAUGUAAUCAUCCUGCAAGGCAUCUUCAGAAACUUCGCCCAACACUUAAGAAUACCAGCUCAUUGUCAUGUGAGUACAUUCUCAAAGCAAGAAAUAAGGCAGUAGCACUAAUGAUUUCAUAUUGAACCCUAUGCACAUAACUAAUAACUUUAGAAGGACUUUAACACUAUGGUAGACUGGAAAAAGAACAUUUAAACAAGCAUUGGAUUUUGCCUGAAAUGUUCUCAGUUCUUCUUGAUACUUAUGCAACCUCCUUAAAAUAUUUGGGUUUCGAAAAAGACUUCACUCCUUGGAACCAGUCCCUAUUUGAUCCUCCAGAGAAGCCACCUUGUGUCAAAGACAUCAAAAAUAUCUUCCCAUGGAAAUAAGUUACAUCAUUCAUGUUCAGGAUUACUUCACCAGAGGAUCACAAAGAAGGCAAAGAGGAGCUUAAAGGAGAACACGUUGGUAGUACUGAGAUCUUUGAUAAGAAAAGGGUCUUGGACAAUUGUGAAAAAGAGGGAAGAAAAAUGGAUUUCAUUUCAAAUCUGUUGUAAGUUUUCCCCCAGUGCAAGUGUCCAUCUUUAAAGAAAGCUAUCCUUUAGAAGAUGAAAGUACUUUUCUUUGAGAAGAGUCCAAUUUUUGAUCUUAUGUUACAAAACCUUAACAAUCAAAAUUUGUUUUUGUGUUCUUUAUUCAAGUACAAACUUAAGUCAUAAUUCCUCUCUUCUUUUUUUUUUUUUUUUUUUUUUUUUUUU
Long non-coding RNA from Pyrgilauda ruficollis (rufous-necked snowfinch), 1551 nucleotides. RefSeq lists it as uncharacterized. The record is from RefSeq and is a predicted model, not a curated record. Lineage: Eukaryota; Metazoa; Chordata; Aves; Passeriformes; Passeridae. The transcript is spliced from 3 exons.